GCGCAGCCUGAUGCGCCAUGCCGCGUGUAUGAAGAAGGCCUUCGGGUUGUAAAGUACUUUCAGUCGUGAGGAAGGUGGUAGUGUUAAUAGCACUAUCAUUUGACGUUAGCGACAGAAGAAGCACCGGCUAACUCCGUGCCAGCAGCCGCGGUAAUACGGAGGGUGCGAGCGUUAAUCGGAAUUACUGGGCGUAAAGCGCAUGCAGGUGGUUAGUUAAGUCAGAUGUGAAAGCCCGGGGCUCAACCUCGGAAUUGCAUUUGAAACUGGCUGACUAGAGUACUGUAGAGGGGGGUAGAAUUUCAGGUGUAGCGGUGAAAUGCGUAGAGAUCUGAAGGAAUACCGGUGGCGAAGGCGGCCCCCUGGACAGAUACUGACACUCAGAUGCGAAAGCGUGGGGAGCAAACAGGAUUAGAUACCCUGGUAGUCCACGCCGUAAACGAUGUCUACUUGGAGGUUGUGGCCUUGAGCCGUGGCUUUCGGAGCUAACGCGUUAAGUAGACCGCCUGGGGAGUACGGUCGCAAGAUUAAAACUCAAAUGAAUUGACGGGGGCCCGCACAAGCGGUGGAGCAUGUGGUUUAAUUCGAUGCAACGCGAAGAACCUUACCUACUCUUGACAUCCAGAGAAGCCAGCAGAGAUGCAGGUGUGCCUUCGGGAACUCUGAGACAGGUGCUGCAUGGCUGUCGUCAGCUCGUGUUGUGAAAUGUUGGGUUAAGUCCCGCAACGAGCGCAACCCUUAUCCUUGUUUGCCAGCGAGUAAUGUCGGGAACUCCAGGGAGACUGCCGGUGAUAAACCGGAGGAAGGUGGGGACGACGUCAAGUCAUCAUGGCCCUUACGAGUAGGGCUACACACGUGCUACAAUGGCGCAUACAGAGGGCUGCCAACCAGCGAUGGUGAGCGAAUCCCAAAAAGUGCGUCGUAGUCCGGAUUGGAGUCUGCAACUCGACUCCAUGAAGUCGGAAUCGCUAGUAAUCGUAGAUCAGAAUGCUACGGUGAAUACGUUCCCGGGCCUUGUACACACCGCCCGUCACACCAUGGGAGUGGGCUGCAAAAGAAGUGGGUAGUUUAACCUUUCGGGAGGACGCUCACCACUUGGGUCAUGACUGGUGACG
RNAcentral lists this ribosomal RNA (1112 nucleotides) under Vibrio sp. 7845M. RNAcentral's name for it is "bacterial SSU rRNA". It matches the Rfam family "Bacterial small subunit ribosomal RNA", at positions 375 to 1485 of the family's 1533-position model. Lineage: Bacteria; Pseudomonadati; Pseudomonadota; Gammaproteobacteria; Vibrionales; Vibrionaceae. The record is from RNAcentral.